AAGAGAAAGAGAGGAAUAAUAAUAUCAAUCUUUAGGAAAACAUUUCUUCAUACAAGAGGAUAAAAGUGCUUUUAUUUUGAUUUUUUUUGCUAUUUCAAUUUUGUUUCUUUUCAGUCAAGAGUUUGUUCCUAAAAGCUCGCUUUUUCUUUUUU
RNAcentral lists this non-coding RNA (152 nucleotides) under Chloropicon laureae. The record is from RNAcentral. Lineage: Eukaryota; Viridiplantae; Chlorophyta; Chloropicophyceae; Chloropicales; Chloropicaceae.